CAGUCGCCGCGGUAAUACGGAGGAUUUAAGCGUUAUCCGGAAUCAUUGGGUUUAAAGGGUCCGUAGGCGGUCUUGUAAGUCAGUGGUGAAAGCCCAUCGCUCAACGGUGGAACGGCCAUUGAUACUGCAGGACUUGAAUUAUUGGGAAGUAACUAGAAUAUGUAGUGUAGCGGUGAAAUGCUUAGAGAUUACAUGGAAUACCAAUUGCGAAGGCAGGUUACUACCAAUUGAUUGACGCUGAUGGACGAAAGCGUGGGUAGCGAACAGGAUUAGAUACCCCCGUAGUCCCUGUCUCUUAUAC
Molecule: ribosomal RNA, 301 nt
Filed under: uncultured bacterium
Lineage: Bacteria
Description: partial 16S ribosomal RNA
Rfam family: Bacterial small subunit ribosomal RNA
Source: RNAcentral